This 463-nucleotide ribosomal RNA is filed under the name uncultured bacterium. RNAcentral's name for it is "partial 16S ribosomal RNA". It matches the Rfam family "Bacterial small subunit ribosomal RNA", at positions 338 to 795 of the family's 1533-position model. The record is from RNAcentral.
CCUACGGGAGGCAGCAGUGGGGAAUCUUCCGCAAUGGGCGAAAGCCUGACGGAGCAACGCCGCGUGAUCGAAUGAAGGCCUUCGGGUUGUCAAGAUCUGUUGACAGGGACGAAUCCGCAAUGCGCAUAGUUUGGUGGAUGACGGUACCUGUUUAGAAAGCUCCGGCUCACUACGUUCCAGCAGCCGCGGUCAUACGUAGGAUUCGAGCGUUCUCCGGAUUUGUUGGGUUUAAAGGGUUCGUAGGCGCGCCGGCACGUCAGCGGUAAAAUCCCGGGGCUACACCCCGGCGAGCCGUUGAAACUGUCGGCGUAGAGACGGCGAGAAGUACGCGGAAUGCGCGGGGUAGCGGUGAAAUGCAUAGAUAUCGCGCAGAACUCCGAUUGCGACGGCAGCGUACCGGAGCCGGACUGACGCUGAGGCACGAACGCGUGGGUAUCGAACAGGAUUAGAUACCCUUGUAGUC